UGGAACGUGUAGAGCUGUCACAUGAUCACCUCUUCCCGUGUCAAUGCCAGAGAAAUGAGGUGCGUACAUCUUUUCUACUUUUUUCUGCACUCAUUAUUUUGUAAAAUAUCAUGUUCCUAACAUGUUGUUGCUUAAAAUGUCCCAUUGUAGUUUCAAAUGCAUCCCUUUGAUAUGCUACUAGAAUGCUGUGAGUGCUCUCCCUGAUAUCUAUGUCAAAAUAUUUGAUAUCCCCAGGGCUCUCACAGUCCAGACCCUGCUUGCUGAAUUGCUAAUGCUGAAAUUGUGCUUCCGCAGUACCAGUAUCAAUCUCAUCCAUAUUUGGACAUCAUUGAUUGUCUAAGCAUCUCAGCUGGCAUGCUCUAUGCUUUAAUGCCAUCCAGACAAUCAGUGCUGUCCAAAUAUUGAUGAAAUUGAUAUUGCUAAUCUGCAUUAGCAAUACAGUGAUAGCAGGCUGUCAUAGUGACACCUGGUUUUGGUUAAAUGUCUCGAAAAGAAUCCUUUGAGAAUCAAUGUUUUUCUGUUGGCAGAAAUAGCAGCAAAUACAUAAAUCCAUUUCAAGAUUAUUGGUCCUGUCAUCUUUCUAAAUAACCCCUGUGCAAGUGCUUCAUUAAAAUCAUUGCUGCACUACAUGAUGCAGUCUUUCUAUUCCGGUUUUUAAAAUGGAUAUAUGCUUGCCCCACUGAAGGCCAGUGCACUUCAAACAACGUCUUACCACUAGUCACAGUUUUAUAAUUGUCAUUCUUUGGAUGACUAAGUUGUAACAUCACUAAAUACCGGACUGUUAUUAUUUAAAUCCUAUAUCAUGGACUGUGGCCGAUGAAUCUUUGAGCAGUGAUUUGAGAAGCACUACUGUAGACUGUCAUUAUAAGAGACCUAGUUAUUUGAAAAACAAUAAUUAAAAAAACAUACAUCAGUGAUGGUCACUAUCCCAGUGCAUGGAAUAGUUGAGACAUUGUUUGCAAAAAAAGUGAAGUGAUAAAACUACUUUUUAUGUUGCAGGACAAGGAUGAACUCUGAACCUGACCCAUUUCUAUUCUGAUGCAGUGUCCAAUUCAAAGAUAUGGCAACACUUUUUUUUUGAAAGGCUAAUCUAUUAAAGUAAUAUAUCUACUACAUUUUGUAAUGUUUUACAUAGCGUUUCUUAUAUCUGAGCAAAAAAAUGAAUUAUAUUAUACAAAUUUGUUUAUACAAUAAACACUUUUUUUGCUUAAA
This is a non-coding RNA of Pelobates cultripes (western spadefoot toad), 1212 nucleotides long. The record is from the annotation of a GenBank genome assembly. NCBI's taxonomy places the organism in Eukaryota, Metazoa, Chordata, Amphibia, Anura, Pelobatidae.